ACCAAAGAACUAUGACUUUAUAAGGUAUAUAAUUCAACUUCUUCUUUGACUUAAUCUCCGAAUUUGAUUAUCUGUUCAGUUAAUUUUUUUCAAUCAUCAGUAUUGUUUAUUAUUGAAUUGAAGUUGAAUUUGAUCAGAUUUCUUUGAGUUAAAUUUGAUCGAUUUAAGUGAUUGAGAAGCUUGGAUUGUGUUCGUUAAAGUCACUGAGAUCACAAGAAGAAAUUCAAGUUGUUGGUGUUAGAAAUGAAGCAGAUCGAUAAGAAGAAGGUGCUCUGAAGUUGAUUUAGGUUUUCUGCUAAAAUCUGGUGAUGGGUUUACUAUUGGUUGCUAGUAUUGAAGAAUAGAAGGUCAGGUUGAGGUUAGAUUCAAGUUUGCAUAUGUGCUCGAAGGGUCCUGAUGGAAUUCAGGUAAAGAAGAAGGAAUAUAUUGAUAGUGGUACAGCUGAAAUGAAGAUUUGUUCGAAUCUGUGAUGAAAUUGAGUAAUUUCUGUUGUGAUUUCUUGGGUGUUUAGGAAGAAUUUAUGUUACUGUUGUCCUACAAAUGGAUGAACAAAGAAUGAGUUGGUUCGAUUUAAGGUUCUCUAUUGAUUUAAAAUUGAAAAUGGUAGGACACGGGUCGUGGUUGUGAUUGUCUCUGUGUAGGAAGAUGAGAAGAAUCUGAUGCUUGUACAAGGAUUGCAGAAGGAGUAUGGAGUUACAGAGUGGUUGAAUUAUUGAUGGUAUUGGUGGAUGAAAUGGGUUUAUAUGAGUUGUUUUACAGGGAUGUUGGAGGUACUGUUGGUGAUUGAAGAAGCAUGAUAGGUUUUGAUGUUCACAAUAUUGAUUGCAGGUGGAACUGGAUGGUUGUUGGCUGGGAUUUGAGCUGACAUUGCAGAUUGUAGGUCUGUUCAAGCUGAUAAAGAAGUGUUGGUGCUGUUGUUGCUUCAGGUGUUAAAUGGUUUGAUGCUUGUCUGUGUCACUGGUAGAUUUAAACUUGCUACAAUGGAAUCAAGCUGAGAAGACAUGACAGUGUGGGUGUUUGGCAGUGUUGUUGUGAGCUGGGUUCUGCGGAGGAAGUUGAUUGCAGUUGAGUUGAAGUCAUGUAACAGACGUAGGAGCUGGAUAAAAUGGAAUGGUGGUGUAUGGCUCAGAUGGAGAUGAUAUGCUUGUUGUGGCAUAUUAGCAUUACUGAGAAGAAUUUGCAUGGAAUGCAGAAUGGAUGUUGCAGCUGGUGGUUCUAAUUGGCAGAAUAUAUUCGAUAAUACUUAUACUUUUGGGUGGAUAAAUUCUAUAUGAAAUAUGUUCAUGAGCUUAUUUGCCAACAUGGGUACCUAUCAGAAUUGUUGUUGGAAGGAUCUAUUGUGUUUGUGCUGGCGAAAGAGAUUGUGAAUGGUGAUGGUUGCAAGUUGUUGACUCAAUGGCUACAACAAGGUAAGGCUCUCUGUACUGUUUGGCUACUCCUAAUGCUAAAUGAAAAUGUUUAUGGAGAAGUUCGGGAACUAUUUUAUGAACUGCAUUACAGUGGAAUUGAAGAGGUUUAAGUGUGUUUAUAGGUUCGUUGAUUUGCAACAGUGAGUUUUCUUCUAUUACGCAUUUUUAUUUUUUGUUUUUAUGAUAAUGGGUUAGAUCGGUCGAGUAAGGGUCUGGAGUACAAGUGAUGGGGGCCAGUCCGGAAUGACAUGUGUCAAACAGAUGGUGAUGUACAGGUGGUGACGUGUACACCGAGUUAAGAAGAAAAUCAACGAGCUGAAUAAGUAUCAAGGAGUUGAAGGAUUUAAAGGUCUUUUUAUCCCACACUAACGGCAUCAAAAAGGUACGGUCGAUCACGCGCCUAUUGUAGUUGUAGUAACCGGGCAUAAUCAAUCAAUACGAAGAUUUGUAGUCCACAAUUUUUUUUCUGGAUAUUAAGUGGAAAAGGAUCUGGAAGUGUUUCUUAACCGUUUACAAGUUCUUAGUCCAGCAUAUCAAGACUCAACGUCCAGAUUUGAAGGAACGCAUAAGUGCUUCACUGGUAAAGGAGACAAAUUAAAAUACAUUCCAGAUAUUGGG
Long non-coding RNA from Papaver somniferum (opium poppy), 2027 nucleotides. RefSeq lists it as uncharacterized. Lineage: Eukaryota; Viridiplantae; Streptophyta; Magnoliopsida; Ranunculales; Papaveraceae. The transcript is spliced from 4 exons. The record is from RefSeq and is a predicted model, not a curated record.